Mangifera indica (mango) is the source of this 2871-nucleotide RNA transcript. RefSeq lists it as uncharacterized. NCBI's taxonomy places the organism in Eukaryota, Viridiplantae, Streptophyta, Magnoliopsida, Sapindales, Anacardiaceae. The record is from RefSeq and is a predicted model, not a curated record. The transcript is spliced from 8 exons.
UGAAGUGCUUUUCCAACGUCUAAAGCAGAGUUAAAAAGCUAUAAAACCACUCCCUUCUGCUUCUUUGCUCUUUCUAUCUCUCUCUCUCUCUCUACGUUGGAAAAUGCGAAAGUGUUUUUGCUUUCUGUUGGAAUUCCAAAGGAACUCUCAAUUGAAGGUUUCUUUGAGAUUUCGUCGCCUACAGAAAUAAGUAAAAGCAAAUUCUUCGUCUCAAUUCUCUCGAUCAUCGGAUUGUUUUCUCGUUCACGAAGAAAAUUCAACAAACAACUUCAUCGAUCACUGAUACUAUCAACGUAAUGGCAGAAAGACAGACAUUUGCAAUCAACUACCAAGAGGGGGCAUAUAGAUUCCAUGAUGCAUACAGAUUCCGAGUGCACAUGUCACUUCGGACAAAGAUGGAUAUUAUGACUAUAAUUAGGAAUAAACUAACAUUUACUCAGAGAGCCAUUUUUCGGACAACCUGUUUUGGACACUUAUUAGAUUUCACGGAGCCACGAUUCAGUGCCAUAUUUAUUCAAGCGAUGUUAUUUCGUAUGAUCAACCGCGGGAACCCAGACAAAGAAAUAUGGUUCAGAAUAAAUGGUGUUGAAUUUCGAUUCAGUCCUGUUGAGUUUGCACUAGUCACUGGUCUGAUUUUUGGGGAGGACAUGGAUGUGUCCAAUUACGUUAAUUGCACGGAGACGCCUCGAUUGAGAGAGGAAUACUUCCCGAACAUUCACAGGUUGUUAUCCCAUGGGGAGAUCGAGCAAGCAUUCAACAAUGAAAUUUGGGGAGACAAUGAUGACGACGCAGUGAAGUUCGCGGUCUUAUAUUAUGCAUUUACAGGAUUAUUAGGGGCAGACAACAGAACCAAAAUACCUGAUCAUUUUUUGCAUUUAGUGGAUAAUUUAGAUGCAUUUAGUCGAUACCCAUGGGGAACACUGACAUGGAAUAAAACAGUUGACUCAAUGCGGAAAGGUAUCCAUAACAAAUAUCAGUAUUGUGUUGAACAUUACCCCCCAUACACAAGUCCGCUUCCACUUCUCAGUUACAGUAUUUUAGGAUACCCGAUUGCUUUUCAAUAUUGGAUUUAUGAGACGAUUCAAAAUCUAUCGCCUUAUAUCCGUCUGGAAGUAAAUGAUCGAAUCCCCCGUAUCUUGAAAUGGAAAACAAUUGUACUACCUACAUGGGAUGACAUAUUAAUACUUUGGGACGCUCCUCCGGAGGGGAUUACAACUACAUUACAUCCGACCGAGACUGAGCGUUACUCUGAGUGGUAUAUUCGAGCUUUAGAGUUUAUGGGAGAAGAUACACCAUCGACAUCAUCAGAUGACGAGUCUAUAGAUUCAGACAAUGAUGAUGACAUCCAGUCGAAUCAUUCUAUUCCUUUUCAGAUAGCCCCUAGAGGGUCUUCACAGUCUUCCACCGCUUCCUUACGAAUAUCUUUAUCACGAGGUGCCAGACCCGUUAUUCCUCUGACGUCUCAUAUUAGACAGACAUCCCCUUCACAUGUGUCAUCCUCUCGCACUGGACACCCCCGAGAGUCACAUAGGGCCUUUGAUAAUGUACGUGUUUUCCCUCCACAAAUGUUUACUUCUCGUGGCUCUCAUCCUCAAGAGCACCAGAUGGACGAGCUUGUAAGACACUCGAUCCAUGGGACAUCGUACAGUGAUGUAUCAUAUGACCGUCUUCAACAGAUCUUAACAGAACAUGGAAGAGGCAUAAGCUCUCAGAUACAACAACAAUUAGACCAGCACGCUGUAAUGAUGCGUACGGAGUGGGAGAGACAGUUAUCAAUGUUUCGUGAGGAGAUGCAAUCACAUUGGCAACAACAAACAUCGAUAUUUCAUAAGGAGAUACAGGAUCAACGACAACAACAAACAUCGAUACUUCGGGGGGAGAUGCAAGAACUCCAAACAUCAUUAAAUAAUCGAAUUGCAAGACUUGAGGAUUCUUAUGUUCAGGCAUCAAGAUCAAUACCGUUGGAUGACUUAUCGGAUAAUAAUGUCCGACAACAAGUGCAGGACCAACCAAUCACUAUUCAGAAGUUGACAAGAACUAAAAAAGUGUGAGCAUUCAGGGAAAUAGUUGGUAAGUCUAUUCAUAGAUCCAACAAAGGCAAAAAAGAACAAACAACCCAUACCUGAGGACCAUUAUUUGGACUUGCGAUUGGCUAAGGCCUAUUCAGAGUUCUUAUUAUGGUAUCAUCAUGUAUCAGGUAAUGGCACUCGACAUAUCUUCCUUGGGGGACCAACUGGAAUGACUACCUAUAUACACAAAUUAUGAUGGACCCAAAUUGUAACACCAGGGAAAUGGUUAAAAAACAUGUAUUCAUUCCCUUCAACAUUGACAAUCAACAUUAGAUGUAUGGCGUAUUAGAUAUCAACAAUUGGAAGUUGUAUGUAUACGACUCUGCCUAAUAUACCACUAGCUUAGAGAGGGUGAAGAAGUUAAUGAUCCCAUAUAGGACACUGACACACCUAAUGAAGGCGAGUAAUUUCUAUACAUCAAAGAGAAUUCAAUUGCUAGUUAUUCCGCUGACAUUACAAUACAAGUGUAUUCGUGAUAUGCCAAAACAAGAUGUAGGAAGCCGAGACUAUUACGUUUUUUUACUUAUGUUUGCGGAAUAUCUUGCCUGAGAUCGGCCAUUUAAUUUCACAGUGAAACAUUUCAGGAGGUUAAAAAGUGCGUGGCUAAAACCAUAUUCCAAGGAAGGGCCUUCACUAAGUAUUUAGUGUUUAUGAGUUUAUUUAUAUGUUAGCAGACUUUACUUAAUUGGUUGUAUUUAUUAAAUUCAAUUAGAUUAUGAAAAUGUAGACUUUGAGGAAUUUGAUUAAGGUAUGGGUGGGCGGGCAUGCAUAUGGAUUGUAUGUCAUUUUGUUAUUGUUUGAA